Molecule: non-coding RNA, 187 nt
Filed under: Wenzhouxiangella limi
Lineage: Bacteria; Pseudomonadati; Pseudomonadota; Gammaproteobacteria; Chromatiales; Wenzhouxiangellaceae
Description: 6S / SsrS RNA
Rfam family: 6S / SsrS RNA
About the family: E. coli 6S RNA was the first non coding RNA to be sequenced, but its function was unknown until recently.
Source: Rfam by way of RNAcentral
CGCUCUCUGCGGUGUUCGCCAGCAGGAAAGUAAUAUGCCUUGUCCCUACUUAUCGACCUAGGGAUGGCGGCUUCCGGUACUUGUGUGCAGCUUGUUUCAACGCGAGUUGCCUGAUGGUCCGGAGAGCCAACCCACCUGAACCAUUGGUUCAAGGUCACCGACCUGCAGCGGCACAGGUGGAGAGCGC